RNAcentral lists this ribosomal RNA (465 nucleotides) under Vreelandella stevensii. RNAcentral describes it as "partial 16S ribosomal RNA". It matches the Rfam family "Bacterial small subunit ribosomal RNA", at positions 338 to 795 of the family's 1533-position model. Lineage: Bacteria; Pseudomonadati; Pseudomonadota; Gammaproteobacteria; Oceanospirillales; Halomonadaceae. The record is from RNAcentral.
CCUACGGGUGGCUGCAGUGGGGAAUAUUGGACAAUGGGGGGAACCCUGAUCCAGCCAUGCCGCGUGUGUGAAGAAGGCCCUCGGGUUGUAAAGCACUUUCAGUGAGGAAGAACGCCUGGUGGUUAAUACCCAUCAGGAAAGACAUCACUCACAGAAGAAGCACCGGCUAACUCCGUGCCAGCAGCCGCGGUAAUACGGAGGGUGCGAGCGUUAAUCAGAAUUACUGGGCGUAAAGCGCGCGUAGGUGGCUUGAUAAGCCGGUUGUGAAAGCCCCGGGCUCAACCUGGGAACGGCAUCCGGAACUGUCAAGCUAGAGUGCAGGAGAGGAAGGUAGAAUUCCCGGUGUAGCGGUGAAAUGCGUAGAGAUCGGGAGGAAUACCAGUGGCGAAGGCGGCCUUCUGGACUGACACUGACACUGAGGUGCGAAAGCGUGGGUAGCAAACAGGAUUAGAUACCCGGGUAGUC